This 257-nucleotide unclassified non-coding RNA is filed under the name fungal sp. RNAcentral describes it as "partial internal transcribed spacer region". The stretch from base 1 to 46 matches the Rfam family "Eukaryotic small subunit ribosomal RNA", at positions 1786 to 1831 of the family's 1831-position model. Lineage: Eukaryota; Fungi. The record is from RNAcentral.
AAGUCGUAACAAGGUUUCCGUAGGUGAACCUGCGGAAGGAUCAUUAUUGUAUAGUCUUACUACUAUGCUCCUGUGAAUUGUUAUAUAAGAUAUCUUGCAAGAGAUAUCUGUUUAUCACGUGUUUGCCUUGUCCCAGUAGGAGCUCUUUCCGAUUGGGUGGCGGACGCUUAUUUUACAUAUACUCUAUGUUUAAUUUUUAUGAUUUUUAACAAAAAAGUUAAUAAUACAACUUUCAACAGUGGAUCUCUCGGCUCUUA